CGGGCUUUCUUUCUGUGAGCCUUCCUCACAACUGGCGCUCCCGGUGAAGCUGUCUCACCAUCACUCGAAUCAGCUUCAGCUUCAUAGUUGUCAUCCUCUCCGUCGGUGCUCACAUCCUCCAGACCAGCAAGAUCAUCAUCCUCAACAGAAACCAUCUAGGAAAAGAAUAAGAUAUGAAACAUGGAAAUCAAAAAGGGAAAGUAUCAAGAAAUUACUAGACUAACGUGUCCAAGAAAGAGCACCCACCAGAAAAUAUCAAAGAACGUGAAGGAGAAAGUCAUGACACAGUGUCUAAUAGCCCAUCAAACUUAUUCAGAAGAACAAACAAAAAAUUGAAUUAACAUGCAAAAGAAUUUCACACCUGCUUACGACUCCUCUUGCCCUUCCCCAUGGUCUUGAAUUCUUCAACUUGAUGCACUUCAUAUUUAUCUCGUAGCAGUUCUUCCCAAUAAGAUGCUCUCUCAGAAUUGUUUACAGUUGCUUUAUUCUCCACAGGGGCAGUUGGGGCUUCCUCUUCUGCUGUUGCUUCUGCUUCUUCAACGUAUUCAAAAUUAGCAA
This 558-nucleotide long non-coding RNA is filed under the name Solanum tuberosum (potato). RNAcentral's name for it is "long non-coding RNA (STUB_LNC008057)". Lineage: Eukaryota; Viridiplantae; Streptophyta; Magnoliopsida; Solanales; Solanaceae. The record is from RNAcentral.